UUAUAGAUAAUUAUACUUUAUUAAUAACAAAUGGAAAUAAAUAUAUAAAUCAUAAGAUAGAAAUUUUACACCAGUCAUCACUGUAUAAUAAAAUUGUGUAACACUCUAUUGCGCAAUAUGUUCUUUGUUAUUUUUUAAAACUCAACAAACAACAAAGAAGAAUAAUGCUAAUAAUUGUUACACAUUGUUUCUUUUUUUCAUGCAUGUUUCUUCGCGUGUAACGAUUCGUUUACAUUUGUACAUGUGCGAGAAGAUAUAACGAUCAACUUUGAAACUUGUUAUUGUUUUUGGAAGUGCCGGAAGUGCUACCGCGCAAAUAAAAAACAUUUCCAAUGAAAGAUACAUAGAGCAUAAUCAUACCGUGAUGAUAUAAAAGGAAUGUCAGCGUAUAGCGGUAUUAGUUCGAGCAAAUAUUGCCAGUAAAAGAUGAAGUUUUUCGGUAAAUUACUCUGUUUCUUUCUCAUAGGCAUCGCGGCGGCGAUGGGCAUGAGCAUCAAAAAAUUUGCACUUGGGAUUGACAACGUAGCUUGUAGAAAUCAAAGUCGUGGAUCCAAUUUUGGAUAGUUGGAAAUCUGUACGAAAUAUACAAAUAUAGGCACAAGUAGUAAAACAACAUUAGGCUGCAGUAUAAAAUGGAUUUAAAAAAUUACAGAUAGCGUGGAAAAAAUUUAUAAGUAUUUUAGAGCUAUAAAAGCACAUCAGUAUGUUGUAUAAAAGAAAUAAAUAAUUAAUAAGAUUGAGUAUUAAACAUUUCGGCAUAACAAUAAAUAACAAAAUAACAUAAAA
Wasmannia auropunctata (little fire ant) is the source of this 786-nucleotide long non-coding RNA. RefSeq lists it as uncharacterized. Lineage: Eukaryota; Metazoa; Arthropoda; Insecta; Hymenoptera; Formicidae. The record is from RefSeq and is a predicted model, not a curated record. The transcript has 3 exons.